Molecule: ribosomal RNA, 460 nt
Filed under: uncultured bacterium
Lineage: Bacteria
Description: SSU rRNA
Rfam family: Bacterial small subunit ribosomal RNA
Source: RNAcentral
AGAAUCAACGCUGGCGGCGUGCCUAACACAUGCAAGUCGAACGAGAAAGUGGAGCAAUCCAUGAGUAAAGUGGCGCACGGGUGAGUAACACGUGACUAACCUACCCUUGAGUGGGGGAUAACCUAGGGAAACCUGGGCUAAUACCGCAUAAUACCCACGGGUCAAAGGAGCAAUUCGCUUAAGGAGGGGGUCGCGGCCGAUUAGUUAGUUGGCGGGGUAAUGGCCCACCAAGACUGUGAUCGGUAUCCGGCCUGAGAGGGCGCACGGACACACUGGAACUGAAACACGGUCCAGACUCCUACGGGAGGCAGCAGUGGGGAAUUUGCGCAAUGGGGGAAACCCUGACGCAGCAACGCCGCGUGGAGGAUGAAGCCCCUUGGGGCGUAAACUCCUUUCGAUCGGGACGAUUAUGACGGUACCGGAAGAAGAAGCCCCGGCUAACGUUCGUGCCAGCAGCCGC